This 308-nucleotide long non-coding RNA is filed under the name Nicotiana benthamiana. RNAcentral describes it as "long non-coding RNA (NBEN_LNC042151)". The record is from RNAcentral. Lineage: Eukaryota; Viridiplantae; Streptophyta; Magnoliopsida; Solanales; Solanaceae.
CUCCAGUGCUGAAGCAAAUAAAGGACAAAAAAGCUGUCCCCAUCACCAAGAACAGAAUAAAGAACCCAAAAGCCUUCAUACUGCAAGUACAAAUAUUCAAAAAACUGAGAAAAUAUAAAGAUUGAUAUUUGGUUUUUCCUUCACACCCUUUUCAAGAAAAGUGAGUAAUUCAACCCAUUUGAAAGAACCCGUCUUUGGUAGAUGAAAAAGAAGAAGAACAAGAACUCAUUCUAGCCCAUGUUGGAGUAUAUAACAAAGAGAAUUAUUAUUAGAAUAUAUUAAAGAAAUAAUAUAGUAGUGAGGAUGAG